CAUGUUUUACAACUAAUGUUAACCGAGGACGUUAUUAUUCUUAAUUUUAAACAUGUCCAGUGACGUUUGAAUUUAUAUAUAGCACGCCCUUUACACCAUGAACAUGUUUUUAAUGUUUCAGUAGUAUACAAUUUCGUUCAGCGGUGCUCCAGCGUUGGAUAAUUGUAUUGUAAUUAUACGUAACUGACCGUAACAAAGAUGUUGAUGUGCUUUAGAAAUGAGCAAAAACGAGGAAAUAUAAAUAUUGAAAAGCGAAUAAAGAAGGACAAAAAGGACUUACAGGAAGAGGUCAGAGUUCUAUUGUUAGGGACAAAUCAAAGUGGCAAAAGUACUCUUAUACGACAGUUGAAGAUUGUCCAUGGAGUUGGUUUCUCUGAAGAUGAGAAAAGAAGUUUUAUUGUACCUAUACAUCAUCAGAUUGCUACGACAAUUCAAAAGUUGAUCUGUGCAAUGGAUUUGUUAAAAAUAGAUUACGAGAAUCCUGAAAAUGAGGAAAAUGCCAGGAAGUUAAUGCAAAAAGAAUAUUCGAACGUAAGAACAUUUGCCAAAGAAGAUAUAUAUACAAUAAAGAAAUUAUGGUCAGAACCAGGGUUGAGACAAUGCUGCGAAGAAGGGAGAGAAUACCAGUUAUCAGAUUCCCA
Long non-coding RNA from Mytilus californianus (California mussel), 641 nucleotides. RefSeq lists it as uncharacterized. Lineage: Eukaryota; Metazoa; Mollusca; Bivalvia; Mytilida; Mytilidae. The transcript has 3 exons. The record is from RefSeq and is a predicted model, not a curated record.